Molecule: ribosomal RNA, 1244 nt
Filed under: metagenome
Description: bacterial LSU rRNA
Rfam family: Bacterial large subunit ribosomal RNA
Source: RNAcentral
UGAAUACGAGACGCUAAGGCGUCGAAGUAGUGUAUGUCAUACUUCCAAGAAAAGCUUGCACUGUCAUAGAUAAAAAACGCCUGUACCAUAACCGACACAGGUGGGUAGGUAGAGUAUACUAAGGGGCGCGAGAUAACUCUCUCUAAGGAACUCGGCAAAAUAACUCCGUAACUUCGGGAGAAGGAGUGCCUUAUUCUUAAGGUUGCAAUAACAAGAUCCAAGCAACUGUUUAUCAAAAACACAGGUCUCCGCUAAGUCGUAAGACGAUGUAUGGGGGCUGACGCCUGCCCAGUGCCAGAAGGUUAAAGAAGCUGGUUAGCAUUUGCGAAGCUAGUAACUGAAGCCCUGGUGAACAGCGGCCGUAACAAUAACGGUCCUAAGGUAGCGAAAUUCCUUGUCGGGUAAGUUCCGACCCGCACGAAAGGCGUAAUGAUUUGGAUACUGUCUCGGAGAGGGGCUCGGUGAAAUAGACUUGUCUGUGAAGAUGCGGACUACCUGCACCAGGACAGAAAGACCCUAUGAAGCUUUACUGUAACUUGAAAUUGAAAUUGGACUUUAUUCGCGCAGUAUAGGUGGGAGGCGUUGAUUAUAAUCUUGCGGGAUUAUUGGAGCCAUUAGUGAGAUCCCACUCUUGUAAUGUUAGAUUUCUAACUUUGAAUCAUUAUCUGGUCAAAGAACAGUUUCAGGCGGGCAGUUUGACUGGGGCGGUCGCCUCCCAAACGGUAACGGAGGCGUACAAAGGUUUCCUCUGAACGGUUAGAAAUCGUAUCUAGAGUGUAAAGGCAUAAGGAAGCUUGACUGUGAGACCUACAAGUCGAGCAGGGACGAAAGUCGGUCUUAGUGAUCUGACGGUACUGAGUGGAAAGGCCGUCACUCAACGGAUAAAAGUUACUCUAGGAUAACAGGCUGAUCUCCCCCAAGAGUUCACAUCGACGGGGAGGUUUGGCACCUCGAUGUCGGCUCAUCGCAUCCUGGGGCGGUAGUACGUCCCAAGGGUUGGGCUGUUCGCCCAUGAAAGCGGUACGCGAGCUGGGUUCAGAACGUCGUGAGACAGUUCGGUCCAUAUCCGGUGUAGGCGUUAGAAUAUUGAGAGGAGCCUUCUUUAGUACGAGAGGACCGAGAAGGACAUACCUCUGGUGUACCAGUUAUCGUGCCAACGGUAGACGCUGGGUAGCUAUGUAUGGAGUGGAUAACCGCUGAAAGCAUCUAAGUGGGAAGCCCACCUCAAGAUAAGUAUUCUCAUC